Molecule: long non-coding RNA, 200 nt
Filed under: Gossypium raimondii (Peruvian cotton)
Lineage: Eukaryota; Viridiplantae; Streptophyta; Magnoliopsida; Malvales; Malvaceae
Description: long non-coding RNA (GRAI_LNC003523)
Source: RNAcentral
UUGAAUAAAAUGUCUGCGAACACGUGUGUACUACUAAGUGCAGGCUACUUCGUGUAUCAAUAAAUAAUGGUCACAUGUGUAGUCGUAAGUGCAGGCUACUAUGUGAUCCGGAAGGCCUUGGUCACGUGUGUAGUACUAUGUGUAGGCUACUACAUGAACCGAAAAGCUUGAUCGCGUGUGUAGUACUAUGUGAAGGUUAC